RNAcentral lists this ribosomal RNA (872 nucleotides) under uncultured bacterium. RNAcentral describes it as "bacterial SSU rRNA". It matches the Rfam family "Bacterial small subunit ribosomal RNA", at positions 8 to 853 of the family's 1533-position model. The record is from RNAcentral.
AGAGUUUGAUCAUGGCUCAGGACGAACGCUGGCGGCGUGCCUAAUACAUGCAAGUUGCCACGCUUGAUUUUCACCGAAGCUUGCUUCACCGAAAAUCAAGAGUAGCGAACGGGUGAGUAACGCGUGGGUAACCUACCUAUCAGCGGGGGAUAACUAUUGGAAACGAUAGCUAAUACCGCAUAACAAUGUUGGAUGCAUAUUCGACAUUUGAAAGUACCAAAUGGUACACUGAGAGAUGGACCCGCGUUGUAUUAGCUAGUUGGUAGUGUAAUGGACUACCAAGGCGAUGAUACAUAGCCGACCUGAGAGGGUGAUCGGCCACAUUGGGACUGAGACACGGCCCAAACUCCUACGGGAGGCAGCAGUAGGGAAUCUUCGGCAAUGGACGAAAGUCUGACCGAGCAACGCCGCGUGAGUGAAGAAGGUUUUCGGAUCGUAAAACUCUGUUGUUAGAGAAGAACGUUGCAUAGAGUGGAAAAUUAUGCAAGUGACGGUAUCUAACCAGAAAGGGACGGCUAACUACGUGCCAGCAGCCGCGGUAAUACGUAGGUCCCGAGCGUUGUCCGGAUUUAUUGGGCGUAAAGCGAGCGCAGGUGGUUUAAUAAGUCUGAUGUAAAAGGCAGUGGCUCAACCAUUGUGUGCAUUGGAAACUGUUAGACUUGAGUGCAGUAGAGGAGAGUGGAAUUCCAUGUGUAGCGGUGAAAUGCGUAGAUAUAUGGAGGGACACCGGUGGCGAAAGCGGCUCUCUGGACUGUCACUGACACUGAGGCUCGAAAGCGUGGGUAGCAAACAGGAUUAGAUACCCUGGUAGUCCACGCCGUAAACGAUGAGUGCUAGUUGUUUGGGGCUAUCCAGCCCUAAGUGACGCAGCA